ACGAGUCGAAUGACGAACUCAGGUUACGUCAUAAGUUUGAGUCUGAGUGAGUGCGGUUGAGAAAUGGCUUAUCGAGUCUGAGCGAUGCUCUGAGAGCAAAAUGCAUUUCUUCAGAGAGUCUGGGUCACCGUCAGUAUCAUUAUUGUUACAAAUGUGCAG
Rhipicephalus microplus (southern cattle tick) is the source of this 159-nucleotide long non-coding RNA. RefSeq lists it as uncharacterized. NCBI's taxonomy places the organism in Eukaryota, Metazoa, Arthropoda, Arachnida, Ixodida, Ixodidae. The record is from RefSeq and is a predicted model, not a curated record.